RNAcentral lists this transfer RNA (67 nucleotides) under Leuctra fusca. RNAcentral's name for it is "tRNA-Cys". Lineage: Eukaryota; Metazoa; Arthropoda; Insecta; Plecoptera; Leuctridae. The record is from RNAcentral.
GGCUUUAUAUUUACUUUAGUAAUAUUAGAUUGCAAAUCUGAAGGGGUAGAGUUGUCUACUAAAGCUU